Molecule: small RNA, 625 nt
Filed under: Pongo abelii (Sumatran orangutan)
Lineage: Eukaryota; Metazoa; Chordata; Mammalia; Primates; Hominidae
Description: retained intron
Source: RNAcentral
ACCAGGACAACGGGCGUCGCCGGCGCCGUGUGACUUCGGGCUGUGGGCUCGCUCGCGGCUCUUCGGCCAUGGUUUUCUCAAACAAUGAUGAAGGCCUUAUUAACAAAAAGUUACCCAAAGAACUUCUGUUAAGGUAAGUGUAGAUAAAUUCUGGAUGAAGAGUUUAGAUCUGAUUUAGUCAUCAAGUUCCAAGACUAUCUUCUUUCUCACUAAUAUUUUCCUUCUUGGAUAUAGUAACUUUGUGCCGAUGUGCACAGAUUUCCAAGGCUUGGAACAUCUUAGCCCUGGAUGGAAGCAACUGGCAAAGAAUAGAUCUUUUUAACUUUCAAACAGAUGUAGAGGGUCGAGUGGUGGAAAAUAUCUCGAAGCGAUGCGGUGGAUUCCUGAGGAAGCUCAGCUUGCGAGGCUGCAUUGGUGUUGGGGAUUCCUCCUUGAAGACCUUUGCACAGAAUUGCCGAAACAUUGAACAUUUGAACCUCAAUGGAUGCACAAAAAUCACUGACAGCACGUGUUAUAGCCUUAGCAGAUUCUGUUCCAAGCUGAAACAUCUGGAUCUGACCUCCUGUGUGUCUAUUACAAACAGCUCCUUGAAGGGGAUCAGUGAGGGCUGCCGAAACCUGGAGUA